UAUAUCCUUCUAUCGCUCCCAUAACAGGAAGACUGUGAGACUCGGGCGUAAGCAGCGUUCGCGUACCCAGGAUAUAGACCGUAGCUGUGUAUUUUCCAUAGCAGAAAAAUGCACUAAAUCAUCUUACAAUGGAUUCAAAUAGACGAGUCUGCAACAGGAUCUCUGUUAUCUUCCUUCUUUUAGGGCACAUCGUGACUGUUCCCUUUGGAAAUAAUCAGACAACUAACUCCAGUCUUGACUGUACCAACGACUUUGACGAGCUGAUGUUGUGUCAGCUGGAGCUACAAAACUGCACUGAGUACAGUUUGACUCUCCAGAGU
Pundamilia nyererei is the source of this 320-nucleotide long non-coding RNA. RefSeq lists it as uncharacterized. The record is from RefSeq and is a predicted model, not a curated record. Lineage: Eukaryota; Metazoa; Chordata; Actinopteri; Cichliformes; Cichlidae. The transcript is spliced from 3 exons.